This 492-nucleotide ribosomal RNA is filed under the name uncultured bacterium. Its description in RNAcentral is "partial 16S ribosomal RNA". It matches the Rfam family "Bacterial small subunit ribosomal RNA", at positions 29 to 507 of the family's 1533-position model. The record is from RNAcentral.
AGUGAACGCUGGCGGUAGGCCUAACACAUGCAAGUCGAACGGCAGCACAGUAAGAGCUUGCUCUUACGGGUGGCGAGUGGCGGACGGGUGAGGAAUACAUCGGAAUCUACUUUUUCGUGGGGGAUAACGUAGGGAAACUUACGCUAAUACCGCAUACGACCUACGGGUGAAAGCAGGGGAUCUUCGGACUUUGCGCGAUUGAAUGAGCCGAUGUCGGAUUAGCUAGUUGGCGGGGUAAAGGCCCACCAAGGCGACGAUCCGUAGCUGGUCUGAGAGGAUGAUAAGCCAAACUAGAACUGGGGCACGGGCCAGACUCCGACGGGAGGCAGCAGUGGGGAAUAUUGGACAAUGGGCGCAAGCCUGAUCCAGCCAUACCGCGUGGGUGAAGAAGGCCUUCGGGUUGUAAAACCCUUUUGUUGGGAAAGAAAAGCAGCGGAUUAAUACCCCGCUGUUCUGACGGUACCCAAAGGAUAAGCACCGGCUAACUUCGUG